GCGUGCGCCGGCUGUAUUUUGAUGUUCAUUCCGUCGAUCGAACUGAAACAGCCAAAAUCCAGUUAGAUAAUUUUCAGAACAUGAAAAGGAUAGCUAGAAGCUUGAGAUCUUCUUCCAUUUUGCGACCUGAAAAUUAAGGCUCGAGAGUUGCACGGUUGGCUUGCGAUGGACGCUCGGAGAGAUGUAGUUGCUAGACAUGAGCGGCUGAGUGGCUAUAGAGUGGAGAGUAAGCUUGAACAAUGACUGUCGAGUGCCGACUGAGAAACAAGCGUCGAGUGGACAAAUGAGGAUCGUGGCAGAGAGUCGAGAGUCGAGAAACAUGGUGAAAAAGGACUGAUCAUCUGAGUUGAGGAGAGUCGAGUUGCGAUUUGUGAAUGAGAGUUGUGGCGGAGGAGAGGAGAUUACUAGUGUCGACAGUGAGAGUUGAGAACAAGGAGACCUCAGAG
This 446-nucleotide unclassified non-coding RNA is filed under the name Hevea brasiliensis (rubber tree). The record is from RNAcentral. Lineage: Eukaryota; Viridiplantae; Streptophyta; Magnoliopsida; Malpighiales; Euphorbiaceae.